RNAcentral lists this ribosomal RNA (466 nucleotides) under uncultured bacterium. RNAcentral describes it as "bacterial SSU rRNA". It matches the Rfam family "Bacterial small subunit ribosomal RNA", at positions 339 to 797 of the family's 1533-position model. The record is from RNAcentral.
GUACGGGAGGCAGCAGUGGGGAAUCUUCCGCAAUGGACGAAAGUCUGACGGAGCAACGCCGCGUGAGUGAAGAAGGUUUUCGGAUCGUAAAACUCUGUUUUCAGGGACGAAUGUGCCGAUUGUAAAUAAUGGUUGGUAAUGACGGUACCUGACAAGAAAGCCACGGCUAACUACGUGCCAGCAGCCGCGGUAAUACGUAGGUGGCAAGCGUUGUCCGGAAUUAUUGGGCGUAAAGCGCGCGCAGGUGGGAUAAUCAGUCUGAUGUUAAAGUUCGGGGCUUAACCCCGUGAAGCAUUGGAUACUGUUAUUCUUGAGUGCAGGAGAGGAAAGUGGAAUUCCUAGUGUAGCGGUGAAAUGCGUAGAUAUUAGGAGGAACACCAGUGGCGAAGGCGACUUUCUGGACUGUGUCUGACACUGAGGCGCGAAAGCCAGGGUAGUGAACGGGAUUAGAAACCCGUGUAGUCCU